Molecule: ribosomal RNA, 408 nt
Filed under: uncultured bacterium
Lineage: Bacteria
Description: partial 16S ribosomal RNA
Rfam family: Bacterial small subunit ribosomal RNA
Source: RNAcentral
GACGAACGCUGGCGGCGUGCUUAACACCUGCAAGUCGAACGAAGUGGCGAACGGGUGAGUAACGCGUAAUCACCCUGCCCUUCAGAGGGGGACAACAGUUGGAAACGACUGCUAAUACCGCAUACAGAAGGAGGGGAUUGCGUCUGAAUAGCUCGUUGGGGGGGCAACGGCCCACCAAGGCGAUGAUCAGUAGCCGGUCUGAGAGGAUGAACGGCGACAUUGGGACGGAGACGCGGCCCAGACGCCUACGGGAGGCAGCAGUGGGGAAGCUUCCGCAAUGGACGAAAGUCUGACGGAGCAACGCCGCGUGAGUGAUUACGGCCUUCGGGUUGUAAAGCUCUGUUAAUCGGGACGCGGUACCGGAAUAGAAAGCCACGGCUAACUACGUGCCAGCCGCCGCGGUAAUUC